RNAcentral lists this long non-coding RNA (706 nucleotides) under Salvia miltiorrhiza (redroot sage). Its description in RNAcentral is "long non-coding RNA (SMIL_LNC004700)". The record is from RNAcentral. Lineage: Eukaryota; Viridiplantae; Streptophyta; Magnoliopsida; Lamiales; Lamiaceae.
AAAGGAACGUUCUUAUCGUAACUGAUAAAUUCAUCCAUUUCGACCUCAGUCAUGCGACGAGAUGCGAGCUCAUAAAGGCCCUCUAUGUCUAACACGACUGCGACCCGACUCAAAUUAAUCAAUAACUGUGGAUCGGCGGCGUGGAGGAAUUUCUUGUCAAAGGCAUCAAGAUCGUCGUUGGCGUGGGCGUGGGCCUUGCAGUAAUCAAAGGCCUUCUCGAGGAGAUCCGAAGGGAUCCAACAGAGCAUCGGAUCCACGCGCAACUUCAAGACAACGUUUGGCCAGUCCUUAUGUUGUAUCCUUGCUCUCAUAAUCAUUGUAGGAGACUUUAGUAACUCAGAAGACUUUAUUAACUCACACUUUUUUGACAGCUCCGACGUGAAAGCAGUUGCCUCAUCCACCCUCCUUGCUCGCAUUAUAUCAGUCUUUAUUAACUCCGACAUGAACGCAGUUGCCUCAUCCACCUUCAACGUCUUGCCAUCGCCGCACUUGACCGAGAUCAUUACAUCGCUUGAGCGAUCCACCUCCAACGUCUCCGUUGCCUCAUCCACCUCCAGCAUCUUGCUGUCGCCGCACUUGAUCGACAUCAGAGGGAGAGACAAAGUAAUGCUUAAUUUAUGAGUUAUGAGAUCUCUCUACUCCUGCGUAGAGAGGCGGCGUUGUGAGAUCUCUCUCUAUAAAUACUACUCUGCGUACGUAUUAAGCG